This 396-nucleotide ribosomal RNA is filed under the name uncultured bacterium. Its description in RNAcentral is "bacterial SSU rRNA". It matches the Rfam family "Bacterial small subunit ribosomal RNA", at positions 28 to 417 of the family's 1533-position model. The record is from RNAcentral.
GACGAACGCUGGCGGCGCGCUUAACACAUGCAAGUCGAGCGAGAACCAGGGCUUCGGCCCUGGGGACAGCGGCGAACGGGUGAGUAACACGUGGAUAACCUGCCCUCGGCACCGGGAUAGCCCGGGGAAACUCGGAUUAAUACCGGAUAGCCCUUCCGACUCUCGAGUCGGUCCGAAAAGGUAGCUUCGGCCUCUGGCCGAGGAUGGGUCCGCGGCGGAUUAGCUUGUUGGUGGGGUAACGGCCUACCAAGGCUCCGAUCCGUAGCUGGUCUGAGAGGACGAUCAGCCACACUGGGACUGAGACACGGCCCAGACUCCUACGGGAGGCAGCAGUGGGGAAUAUUGCGCAAUGGGCGAAAGCCUGACGCAGCGACGCCGCGUGUGGGAUGACGGCCU